This 461-nucleotide ribosomal RNA is filed under the name Ammonia sp. T15. RNAcentral describes it as "SSU rRNA". It matches the Rfam family "Eukaryotic small subunit ribosomal RNA", at positions 1176 to 1448 of the family's 1831-position model. The record is from RNAcentral. Lineage: Eukaryota; Foraminifera; Rotaliida; Rotaliidae.
GUGGAGCAUGCGGCUUAAUUUGACUCAACGCGGGAAGUCUUACCGGGUCCGGACACACUGAGGAUUGACAGAUAUACGCUGCGUUAUGUCCUUCGGGCCUGCGUGGCUCAAAGAUGCUAGUUCUUUCAUGAUUAUGUGAUAGGUGGUGCAUGGCCGUUCUUAGUUCGUGGAGUGAUCUGUCUGCUUAAUUGCGUAUCAAUAAUAGAGACCUAGUAUACGUGCAUUACUCAUGCGGUAGUGACCCCCUCUUCGCGGAGGCGCGCGUCGCACAUAUGGUAUGCGCACUGGUCUCAGAUAGCAACGAACGUGACCGUAUUCUAUUGUUGCAGUGAAUUAUACGUGCUGCUCUUUACCGAGUUAGUUACAUCCCACUGCUUAGUGUGCGCGGCGUAUUUCGGUACUCGCGUCACACAUUAAACUAUAGAGACCGCUGUUUCUUCUUUAAACCAGAGGAAGGAUAC